UACGAAGGGGGCUAGCGUUGUCCGGAAUUAUUGGGCGUAAAGCGCGCGCAGGCGGUCCCUUAAGUCUGAUGUGAAAGCCCACGGCUCAACCGUGGAGGGUCAUUGGAAACUGGGGGACUUGAGUGCAGAAGAGGAAAGUGGAAUUCCACGUGUAGCGGUGAAAUGCGUAGAGAUGUGGAGGAACACCAGUGGCGAAGGCGACUUUCUGGUCUGUAACUGACGCUGAGGCGCGAAAGCGUGGGGAGCAAACAGG
Molecule: ribosomal RNA, 253 nt
Filed under: uncultured bacterium
Lineage: Bacteria
Description: partial 16S ribosomal RNA
Rfam family: Bacterial small subunit ribosomal RNA
Source: RNAcentral